This 70-nucleotide transfer RNA is filed under the name Dipodomys ordii (Ord's kangaroo rat). It matches the Rfam family "tRNA". From Rfam's summary of the family: Transfer RNA (tRNA) molecules are approximately 80 nucleotides in length. Their secondary structure includes four short double-helical elements and three loops (D, anti-codon, and T loops). The record is from Rfam by way of RNAcentral. Lineage: Eukaryota; Metazoa; Chordata; Mammalia; Rodentia; Heteromyidae.
GGAAAUGUGGCUUAGUGGUAAAGAGCUUGCCUAGCGUGCAUGAAGCCCUGGGUUCGAUUCCUCAGUACCA